AAGGGAGAGGAUAAGGUAGAAAUCUACCCUCGGGACGGGGAUAGCUGCGGGAAACUGCUGGUAAUACCCGAUAAUAUCUUUGGAUCAAAGGUGUGAUUCCGCCUGGGGAUGAGUCUACUUCCUAUUAGCUAGUUGGCAGGGUAAUGGCCUACCAAGGCAACGAUGGGUAGCGGGUGUGAGAGCAUGACCCGCCUCACUGGGACUGAGAACUGCCCAGACACCUACGGGUGGCUGCAGUCGAGAAUCUUCGGCAAUGGGCGCAAGCCUGACCGAGCGACGCCGCGUGCGGGAUGAAGGCCCUCGGGUUGUAAACCGCUGUCGUAGGGGAACAAAUGUAAGUGGGUUCUCCCAUUUACUUGAGUGAUCCUAGGAGGAAGGGGAGGCUAAGCUCGUGCCAGCAGCCGCGGUAAGACGAGCUCCCCGAACGUUAUUCGGUAUUACUGGGCUUAAAGAGUUCGUAGGCGGCCCGACAGGUGAGGUGUGAAAUCCCUCGGCUCAACCGAGGAACUGCGCUUCAAACCGUCAGGCUUGAGGGAGAUAGAGGUGAGCGGAACAGAUGGUGGAGCGGUGAAAUGCGUUGA
RNAcentral lists this ribosomal RNA (581 nucleotides) under uncultured bacterium. RNAcentral describes it as "bacterial SSU rRNA". It matches the Rfam family "Bacterial small subunit ribosomal RNA", at positions 102 to 694 of the family's 1533-position model. The record is from RNAcentral.